Molecule: long non-coding RNA, 767 nt
Filed under: Homo sapiens (human)
Lineage: Eukaryota; Metazoa; Chordata; Mammalia; Primates; Hominidae
Description: HSALNT0354055
Source: RNAcentral
CCCCGCCCCGCAGGGCCCCCAGGCCGGGCGCUGGGGGCGCACAGGUGAGUACAAAUGCGGACGCUGCUGAGAACAGCGAAAGCCUUUUUCAAAAGUGAUAUUGAUUUACGUUAUGGGGUUGUGACUCGAGCCAAGAGGAGAGAGACGCACAAACGCUCUUUAGGCAUACAGAUUCUCUCUCCUCACCACGCGGCUGCUGCUGGAGGAUGGAGGAGGGGUGGUGUCAGCAAUUCAAGACUGUCUUUCCUACCCUCUUCAGUGCCCUUCCUUGAUAAGCUGUUUAAACCAGAACCGACUGUUUCUGGAAAAGGUAAACAUCUAUUCUCCAAAGGGCAGUGACUUUCUACCUGUGAAAAUAAAAAGUAAACUUCAGAAGAAAAUUCUGAAAGAGGAAUUUAGAGAUGUUCCAAAUAAAGGCAAUAUAGUUUCACUGGAACUGAAAUGUUGCCUUCCAAUUCUACUACAGAAGGCAGAGUGGCACAUGUGGCACCUGGUCAGGAUGGACUCACUAAAGGAUUUAACCCAGACUUCUGAUCAACAAAUAUUGCUGCUACAUUAACUGAUUCGCAACAAAGAAAGAAAAUAUCAUCCAGUUGAUUUUAUUAUUUAAAUAUGGGCUCAAAUCUUAAAUCUGACAAACUAAUAAAUAAAUAUGUCUGAAAAGUAAAUAGUAAAUGGUGAACUGGUAUGGCUGAGGCAUUUGUACUGAACCCAUGCUGCUUCCUGGAGAUCACUGCAUUCUUUUCUGUGCUCAGUAAUCUACUUAA